RNAcentral lists this long non-coding RNA (477 nucleotides) under Homo sapiens (human). Its description in RNAcentral is "HSALNT0344061". Lineage: Eukaryota; Metazoa; Chordata; Mammalia; Primates; Hominidae. The record is from RNAcentral.
AUUUUACAGCUGAGAAGGAAAUUAUGCAGCCUGUAGGAUAAAUUCCUCUCCUGGCAGAUUGAGUGGAUGUAGCACCAGAAGCUCCCAGAAUAAUCACAACUUCAAAGGUCAUAGUGAAUUUCCUAAACAAAUAGAAGCAUGAGGAGCAGAGCAAGUUCCAUGCCAAUCAAGACAGGAAGCUGAGAAGAGAACAUAGAAGAUAAAGACAAGAAAGUAGGCUCAAAAUUAUUUCCCUGUGCAAUCCUUCUACAGAGAGGCCAGCCUCUAAAGCUGCCAAGCGGGAGAGAUGGACUCUGCUGUGAGCUUUUCAGAGAGAAGGUUCUCAGGAUAGGUAAGUAGAAAUGUCUUCUACUUCUACAUAGAAAUGUGUUUCUAUGUGGUAAUGAGAAAAGAUUUAAGCAAUAUUUACUACAUGUUUUUCUCCUUCAGUCAUUGAAGACUUGAUUAAACCUAUGUUGCUAGUCCCUGUGGUAAUAC